This 461-nucleotide unclassified non-coding RNA is filed under the name Hevea brasiliensis (rubber tree). The record is from RNAcentral. Lineage: Eukaryota; Viridiplantae; Streptophyta; Magnoliopsida; Malpighiales; Euphorbiaceae.
UCUACAGGAGACUUAUAAGGUUCUUCCUGUGACAAUAACUCUCGCUUGUGUCUUUUUCUAUGUGAAAACUGGUUGUUUAAUGUACUUUUGUGGUCACAUGGAUUCAGAGCAUAUAGUUCUUCUUGGAAAGCAUUGGCUGGCUUAGACUCUGCCUGUUCAAAAACCAAACAGCAAAGGUGGACUAUGAAGAGGACACAGAUGGUGAAGCCUGUGGCUCGAAGUUAUAAGGUGCACCUGACCGGAACCGACCCGUUUCCUCCAUUCUAAUUCAUCCUCCUGCAGUUUGAUAUUUGCCCUAUACUUUUCACCUCCAUCUGUAACCUAACACCAAUGUUGCUAAACAGAGAUUUUUUUAGCCUAGCAAUUUUGUCGGUCAAUUCUGUAUCUGAUAAAUUCGAAAGUCCUUCUUUUAGCUCUUCUCCUUCCAUGGUGAUCGAUUACUGUUUUUCAGCAGGCAGCCG